CCUACGGGAGGCAGCAGUGAGGAAUAUUGGUCAAUGGACGAGAGUCUGAACCAGCCAAGUAGCGUGAAGGAUGACUGCCCUAUGGGUUGUAAACUUCUUUUAUAAAGGAAUAAAACGAGGCACGUGUGCCUUUUUGCAUGUACUUUAUGAAUAAGGAUCGGCUAACUCCGUGCCAGCAGCCGCGGUAAUACGGAGGAUCCGAGCGUUAUCCGGAUUUGUUGGGUUUAAAGGGAGCGUAGAUGGGUUUUUAAGUCAGUUGUGAAAGUUUGCGGCUCAACCGUAAAAUUGCAAUUGAUACUGGCAGUCUUGAGUACAGUUGAGGUAGGCGGAAUUCGUGGUGUAGCGGUGAAAUGCUUAGAUAUCACGAAGAACCCCGAUUGCGAAGGCAGCUUACUAAACUGUGACUGACAUUGAUGCUCGAAAGUGUGGGUAUCAAACAGGAUUAGAUACCCGGGUAGUC
Molecule: ribosomal RNA, 460 nt
Filed under: uncultured bacterium
Lineage: Bacteria
Description: partial 16S ribosomal RNA
Rfam family: Bacterial small subunit ribosomal RNA
Source: RNAcentral